UUGGGCUCGAGCGAGGCUACUUCAACCAUUGCGAACUCGUCCAAGUUGCUUCGGCGGCGCGGCUCCCCCUAACGGGGGCGCCGCAGCCCUGCCUCUCCGGAGGUUCGGGGCGCCCGCCGGAGGUACGAAACUCUGUAUUAUAGUGGCAUCUCUGAGUAAAAAGCAAAUAAGUUAAAACUUUCAACAACGGAUCUCUUGGUUCUGGCAUCGAUGAAGAACGCAGCGAAAUGCGAUAAGUAAUGUGAAUUGCAGAAUUCAGUGAAUCAUCGAAUCUUUGAACGCACAUUGCGCCCGGUAGUACUCUACCGGGCAUGCCUGUUCGAGCGUCAUUUCAACCCUCAAGCCCUGCUUGGUGUUGGGGCCCUACGGCUGCCGUAGGCCCUGAAAGGAAGUGGCGGGCUCGCUACAACUCCGAGCGUAGUAAUUCAUUAUCUCGCUAGGGAGGUUGCGGCGUGCUCCUGCCGUUAAAGACCCAUCUUUAACCAAGGUUGACCUCGGAUCAGGUAUGAAUACCCGCUGAACUUACGCAUAUCAAUAAGCGGGGAGAACAUUACUAGAGCCAAAGGGUACUUCCACUUUUACAAACUCAAAUAAC
This 595-nucleotide ribosomal RNA is filed under the name fungal sp. TZ-2013. Its description in RNAcentral is "eukaryotic LSU rRNA". The stretch from base 176 to 329 matches the Rfam family "5.8S ribosomal RNA". Lineage: Eukaryota; Fungi. The record is from RNAcentral.